GGAAUUGACGGGGCCCGCACAAGCGGAGGAACAUGUGGUUUAAUUCGAUGAUACGCGAGGAACCUUACCCGGGCUCGAACGGUGCAUGAAUAAUUCAGAGAUGGAUUAGUCCUUCGGGACAUGUAUCGAGGUGCUGCAUGGUUGUCGUCAGCUCGUGCCGUGAGGUGUCGGCUUAAGUGCCAUAACGAGCGCAACCCUUGUCGUUAGUUACCAUCAAGUAAUGUUGGGGACUCUAGCGAGACUGCCACCGUAAGGUGUGAGGAAGGGGGGGAUGACGUCAAAUCAGCACGGCCCUUACGUCCGGGGCGACACACGUGUUACAAUGGUAGGUACAGAGGGCAGCUACCCAGUGAUGGGGUGCGAAUCUCAAAAACCUAUCUCAGUUCGGAUUGGAGUCUGCAACUCGACUCCAUGAAGUUGGAUUCGCUAGUAAUCGCGCAUCAGCCAUGGCGCGGUGAAUACGUUCCCGGGCCUU
This 475-nucleotide ribosomal RNA is filed under the name uncultured Rikenellaceae bacterium. RNAcentral's name for it is "bacterial SSU rRNA". It matches the Rfam family "Bacterial small subunit ribosomal RNA", at positions 906 to 1382 of the family's 1533-position model. The record is from RNAcentral. Lineage: Bacteria; Pseudomonadati; Bacteroidota; Bacteroidia; Bacteroidales; Rikenellaceae.